GAUGAACGCUGGCGGUCUACUUAACACAUGCAAGUCGUACGGAAUCCUUCGGGAAUUAGUGGCGGACGGGUGAGUAACGCGUGAGAAUCUGCCUUCAGGUUCGUGACAACAGCUGGAAACGGCUGCUAAUACCGGAUGUGCCGAGAGGUGAAAGCUUUAGUGCCUGAAGAUGAGCUCGCGUCUGAUUAGCUAGUAGGAGUGGUAAUGGCACCCCUAGGCGACGAUCAGUAGCUGGUCUGAGAGGAUGAUCAGCCACACUGGGACUGAGACACGGCCCAGACUCCUACGGGAGGCAGCAGUGGGGAAUUUUCCGCAAUGGGCGCAAGCUUGACGGAGCAAGACCGCGUGAGGGAAGAAGGUCUGUGGAUUGUAAACCUCUUUUGAUGGGGAAGAAGACAGUGACGGUACCCAUCGAAUCAGCCUCGGCUAACUCCGUGCCAGCCGCCGCGGUAA
This 453-nucleotide ribosomal RNA is filed under the name uncultured bacterium. RNAcentral's name for it is "partial 16S ribosomal RNA". It matches the Rfam family "Bacterial small subunit ribosomal RNA", at positions 28 to 523 of the family's 1533-position model. The record is from RNAcentral.